AGGACGAACGCUGGCGGCGUGCUUAACACAUGCAAGUCGAGCGGAAAGGCCCUUCGGGGUACUCGAGCGGCGAACGGGUGAGUAACACGUGAGCAACCUGCCCUUAGCUCUGGGAUAGCUCCGGGAAACCGGAAUUAAUACCGGAUAUGACCUAGGCCGACAUCGGCCGUGGUGGAAAGUUUUUCGGCUAGGGAUGGACUCGCGGCCUAUCAGCUAGUUGGUGGGGUAAUGGCCUACCAAGGCGACGACGGGUAGCCGGCCUGAGAGGGCGACCGGCCACACUGGGACUGAGACACGGCCCAGACUCCUACGGGAGGCAGCAGUGGGGAAUCUUGCGCAAUGGGCGAAAGCCUGACGCAGCGACGCCGCGUGGGGGAUGAAGGCCUUCGGGUUGUAACCGCUUUCACCAGGACGAAGCGAGAGUGACGGUACCUGGGAAGAAGCGCCGGCUAACUACGUGCCAGCAGCCGC
This 471-nucleotide ribosomal RNA is filed under the name uncultured bacterium. Its description in RNAcentral is "SSU rRNA". It matches the Rfam family "Bacterial small subunit ribosomal RNA", at positions 26 to 518 of the family's 1533-position model. The record is from RNAcentral.